This 452-nucleotide ribosomal RNA is filed under the name uncultured bacterium. RNAcentral's name for it is "bacterial SSU rRNA". It matches the Rfam family "Bacterial small subunit ribosomal RNA", at positions 37 to 507 of the family's 1533-position model. The record is from RNAcentral.
CGGCGACUAGCUUAACAACAUAGCAAGUACGAACGGGAAGGUAGGGUGGUUUCCUACGUAGGCGAACGGGUAGGAGUAACGACGUAAGAACCUAGCCUUCGGAGGGGAACGAACAAACUGGAAACGGUUAGGCUAAUACCCCGUACGGCUGAGGAGGCAAAAGGAGAAAUACCGCCCAACGGAGGGGCGUCGCGUCUGAUUAGCUAGUUGGUGAGGCAAUAGCUUACCAAGGCGAUGAUCAGUAGCUGGUCCGAGAGGAUGAUCAGCCACACUGGGACUGAGACACGGCCCAGACUCCUACGGGAGGGCAGCAGUGGGGAAUUUUCCGCAAUGGGCGAAAGCCUGACGGAGCAAUGCCGCGUGGAGGUGGAAGGCCUACGGGUCGUCAACUUCUUUUCUCGGAGAAGAAACAAUGACGGUAAUCUGAGGAAUAAGCAUCGGCUAACUCUGUG